GUACCUUUCUCGGUCUGUUGGCUACGUUCAAGUGUAGUAUCUGUUCUUAUCAGAUUAGUGUAUAAUAUGUGGGCCAUCGGCCCACUUGAUGUUAAUCUUACUUUUUUAUAGAGAAAAGCCCAUCAUAAUAGCUUGCUAUUGGGGCCUUUGAGUAUUGCCUUGUGUUGCACUUGGCCUGACACACCCCUU
Non-coding RNA from Helianthus annuus (common sunflower), 189 nucleotides. NCBI's taxonomy places the organism in Eukaryota, Viridiplantae, Streptophyta, Magnoliopsida, Asterales, Asteraceae. The record is from Rfam.